GAUGAACGCUGGCGGCGUGCCUAAUACAUGCAAGUCGAGCGAACAGACGAGGAGCUUGCUCCUCUGACGUUAGCGGCGGACGGGUGAGUAACACGUGGAUAACCUCCCUAUAAGACUGGGAUAACUUCGGGAAACCGGAGCUAAUACCGGAUAAUAUAUUGAACCGCAUGGUUCAAUAGUGAAAGACGGUUUUGCUGUCACUUAUAGAUGGAUCCGCGCCGCAUUAGCUAGUUGGUAAGGUAACGGCUUACCAAGGCAACGAUGCGUAGCCGACCUGAGAGGGUGAUCGGCCACACUGGAACUGAGACACGGUCCAGACGCCUACGGGAGGCAGCAGUAGGGAAUCUUCCGCAAUGGGCGAAAGCCUGACGGAGCAACGCCGCGUGAGUGAUGAAGGUCUUCGGAUCGUAAAGCUCUGUUAUUAGGGAAGAACAAAUGUGUAAGUAACUAUGCACGUCUUGACGGUACCUAAUCAGAAAGCCACGGCUAACUACGUG
RNAcentral lists this ribosomal RNA (497 nucleotides) under uncultured bacterium. RNAcentral describes it as "partial 16S ribosomal RNA". It matches the Rfam family "Bacterial small subunit ribosomal RNA", at positions 28 to 507 of the family's 1533-position model. The record is from RNAcentral.